GGAUGUGAGGGCCUAACUGGCUGCAACAUCUGUCACCCCAUUGACCGCCAGGUUGAUUCGGCUGAUCUGGCUGGCUAGGUGGGUGUCCCCUUCCUCCCUCACCACUCCAUGUAUGCCCCCCCCCCCGAAGCUGCGUGCUUAGUUGAAGAGGACGGCCUUCCCCCAAUAGAGAUGGACCAGUCUUCAGUAAAGGGUAUACAAGUAGCUGCGCUCCCCUGCUAGAACCUCUAAACAAGCUCUAAAGGAGCAGUGCAGAGAAGUCUUGUGUACCCUUUAUCCAGUUUCUCCAAUAGAAAGUAGAA
This 302-nucleotide small nuclear RNA is filed under the name Erinaceus europaeus (western European hedgehog). RNAcentral describes it as "7SK RNA (ENSEEUG00000017507.1)". It matches the Rfam family "7SK RNA". From Rfam's summary of the family: 7SK was discovered as an abundant small nuclear RNA in the mid-70s but a possible function has only recently been suggested. Two independent studies have found that 7SK RNA binds the CDK9/cyclin T complex (known as elongation factor P-TEFb). Lineage: Eukaryota; Metazoa; Chordata; Mammalia; Eulipotyphla; Erinaceidae. The record is from RNAcentral.